GACGAACGCUGGCGGCAUGCUUAACACAUGCAAGUCGAACGAAGUGGCGAACGGGUGAGUAAUACGUGGGUCACCUGCCCUCCUUUUUGGGAUAAGCCUUGGAAACGGGGUCUAAUACCGAAUAAAGGGGGAUGGGCUCGCGGCCGAUCAGCUUGUUGGUGGGGUGGUGGCCUACCAAGGCGGUGACGGGUAGCCGGCCUGAGAGGGUGACCGGCCACAUUGGGGAUGAGAUACGGCCCAGACUCCUACGGGAGGCAGCAGUGGGGGAUAUUGAACAAUGGGCGAAAGCCGGAUGCAGCGACGCCGCGUGGGGGAUGAAGGCUUGCGGGUUGUAAACCUCUUGCGCUAUCGAACGGGUAGGUGGAGAAGAAGCGCCGGCUAACGCCGUGCCAGCCGCCGCGGUAAUUCC
This 409-nucleotide ribosomal RNA is filed under the name uncultured bacterium. RNAcentral's name for it is "partial 16S ribosomal RNA". It matches the Rfam family "Bacterial small subunit ribosomal RNA", at positions 28 to 527 of the family's 1533-position model. The record is from RNAcentral.